RNAcentral lists this long non-coding RNA (1795 nucleotides) under Nicotiana tabacum (common tobacco). Its description in RNAcentral is "long non-coding RNA (NTAB_LNC000134)". Lineage: Eukaryota; Viridiplantae; Streptophyta; Magnoliopsida; Solanales; Solanaceae. The record is from RNAcentral.
AAAGUGGAUAAUAAUGAGUCCUGUUUAAAGAAAGAAAAAGAUUGAGUCUUCCAGAAAGCCUAGAAAGUGACAUCUUCCGAGAAAUUGGAAGCUACCCCGUAAUCAAAAUACAUUCAACAGCAUCUGUAGGAAAAGAUAUUACACCCCAAUUAAUAGAACUGCAUAUUAUGUUGCUUUGCUGCUGAAGACGGUAGACAAAAUAACAUAAAGUAUCUACAGUAAGAGGUGGCAAAUGGGUGGGCUGGGUCUAACUUGGGGUCAAAGCAGGUCAAAUCAAUAAAUGGUUCAUAACCCAACUAGCCCAAAGUUUGCUUGGGUCAAAACGGGUUGGUCAAAGAUGGGGCAAAUAAUAUUAUAACCCAACCCAACAUUGAAAAAACUUCCUUCCUUAUAAAUAUGAGAACCUUACCAAGUAUAAAAGCUAACCCCAGUGCAACGUAAGACUUGAAACAUAAUAUAUGGUUUUAGAACACCUAUAAACAAGGUGCUUCAAUGUUUUCAGAGUGUUCUGAAAGAAAAUGUACUCCCUUGAUUUUAUAUUGUCACUUUUGUUUACCGGUAAUUGAAAAUAGGUUUGUUCAUUUUCUAAAAGUAAAGUAUCGAUAUUUGUAAACUAACUGAUAAGUAUUCUAAGCUGUACGUUAUAUUAAAAUAAUGAAAUAAUACAUCUAAAUAUCACUAAAAGCUUAUAAAUAUGAUUGCCGAAAAAUGAGAAGUGAUAAUUCAAGCAGUAUCUAUUUUCAUUAGAAUGCUUUUCUUUUUCUUUUUGUUAUUGCCUCUAAAACUUUAGACAGUGAAACAAGAAAUCAACACACUUCAUUCAAUUCACCAAGUGUUCUAGAACCACACAUUAUCAAAUGCAUAAAAACUUUACAUGACUAAUUGAUAUCAUCAGAAUUCACAAUAUUACAUUAAUCAAAGUUAACUCCAACACGGAAAAGAAAAGAAAAUAAAAGAAAAACAUCACUUUUGAUGAAGAAAAAAUACAAAUCAAAUCCAGCAUCAGAUAUACCAGCAUAAAAUCCAGUACCUUAAUCCGUUGGGUCUCUUUGAGAAACCGAUAGAGGAAGUCAGAAGAGCUUGAUCUCUAUGAGAUAUCAGUAAAUGAGAAACUAAACCUGUUGGGUUGUGUGGAAUUUCAACCCGCCGGGUUACAUGAUUUAAUCCCAAUUCUGACCCACUAUGUUCAUGGGUCAUGUUGGGUCAACCCAUUAGCUGUUUUAAUAAUAACACAACCCAUUUAAGUUCAGGCAGGUUCGGCCGAUUACACAAUAAUGAUCUAUUUUCGCCACAUCUAAUCUACACUUUCACACAUAAAAAAGCAGGUCGGGUGUUAGAUACUCAUAAAGAGACUUCUCACUCAUUUACAUGAGCUCAUAAUACAGGAAAAGAGCUAUCUUUGCACCUUCUUAAGCUUCUUACUCCUAAAUUAAAGACCAAAUAAAGCUCCACUUUACAACAAAGUUUAAAGUGCAAUAAAAAGUAUUCAAGGUCCAUAUAUAGAAGCAGAAGAAUAAAAAUCUCCUGAUAACACGAUAAGCACUUUUUCUUUUCAGAAUCACCUAUAUUACUAAUAAUAAGAGGCACAUUACACCAUCACAUACUUGUUAUCACAUGAGAUAAAUUCACAUUUUACCAUUAAAGAAUAAUUGGAAAUGGGGUUUAGGGAACUUACAACAGAGCUUCACCGUAGAAAGAGUUGGGUGAGGAAAUUACAGAGAUGAAGAGGAGUGUAUUGGCUGACAAAGGGAGAGUCGUGGCGGGUCAUUAGACCAGACGACAUUUGGGCUUUUUG